UACGAAGGGGGCUAGCGUUGCUCGGAAUCACUGGGCGUAAAGCGCACGUAGGCGGAUUGCUAAGUCAGGGGUGAAAUCCUGGAGCUCAACUCCAGAACUGCCCUUGAUACUGGCGGUCUCGAGUUCGGGAGAGGUGAGUGGAACUGCGAGUGUAGAGGUGAAAUUCGUAGAUAUUCGCAAGAACACCAGUGGCGAAGGCGGCUCACUGGCCCGAUACUGACGCUGAGGCACGAAAGCGUGGGGAGCAAACAGG
This 253-nucleotide ribosomal RNA is filed under the name uncultured bacterium. RNAcentral describes it as "partial 16S ribosomal RNA". It matches the Rfam family "Bacterial small subunit ribosomal RNA", at positions 524 to 776 of the family's 1533-position model. The record is from RNAcentral.